UAGAAGAAUGAAGGUUAAAAAAUCUUAUUUACAGUAUGUUCAAUGUGGGUAUAUGUAUUAACAUUAAUGAGGUUUGUACAGAAAGUAAAUAAUAAAUAGUAAAUAGUUAUUGCACAUAGUUUUUAAAGGAGUGUCGUUGUUGUAUUAUAGCUGGUGUUGUUUUCUCUCAAGAAUUAUCGGGGCGGUGAUGGCUCUUGGGAAGAAACUGUUCUUCAGUCUGGUAGUCCUUGUUCGAAUGCCUCUGUAGCACCUCCCAGAAGGAAGCAGUUCAAACAGCUGGGAGGCGGGAGGU
Syngnathus acus (greater pipefish) is the source of this 292-nucleotide long non-coding RNA. RefSeq lists it as uncharacterized. Lineage: Eukaryota; Metazoa; Chordata; Actinopteri; Syngnathiformes; Syngnathidae. The transcript has 3 exons. The record is from RefSeq and is a predicted model, not a curated record.